This 1114-nucleotide long non-coding RNA is filed under the name Hordeum vulgare. Its description in RNAcentral is "long non-coding RNA (HVUL_LNC021095)". Lineage: Eukaryota; Viridiplantae; Streptophyta; Magnoliopsida; Poales; Poaceae. The record is from RNAcentral.
UUGUUACUAGCAAUGUACAGAGCAUUAUUUUUUCAGGCCUUCCAGUGAGCAGGUGCUAGUAAUCGAUGGCGGCAACGAAAUUGGUAAGAUCCCACUCUCUCACUUGGCCUCUCCCUCCCCUCCUCCUCUCUUUAUGUGUGUGAAGUCCGCAGAUUUGAACUACACGGUAAGUUUAAUAAUAUCUUUAAAAAAUGUGUGCUACUUUAAUUCAUGGAAAUAGAGAAGCUCUUAAAGUAGUAAAGUCCUUUAUGUGCAGCAGUUAAUUAAGCUUCAUUAUUGUUUUGUAGUUUUCUAAAAAGUACUUUCAUGAACUGGUUACACAUGUUUUUAUUUUGAUAGCAGGCUUGACAGAAAGUUUUAUUUUCUGUUGUUUAUCAGUGAAUGGUUGGUGAAGUAACGAUUGAAGGAGAUAUUAAAUUGUUGUUUGUGAUAUCAAGUGGCUUGCCUACAAUAAAGGACUAUGAGCAUGUCACUGAUUUGCAAAUGCUUUCACUGGUACCUGUUAUUAAUCAUCCGAUUUCUUACUUCUUCCAUUUAUGCAGGAAUGACGUGAAGAGAGUCCUCUCUGUUCUUAAUCAUCUGAUUUCUUACGCCUUUCAUGUAUCUCUAGAUAUAUAGAGAGAAGUUACAUGAAACACAAAAGAGGGGAGCUAAAGGUACACCUUUUCCCAUCGGUGAUAAUGAAUUCCCUUUAGUUGCUUUGGUAUGAAAUGAUAUUGAAGGCAGCUUAGAGAAAUUACCAUGUUCUCUAGUUAUCGUGCGGAAAUAUUAACCAUGGAUUUUGACUUGUAGAUUCUCAAAGUGGAGUAUGUUCUCCAAUGAGAUGUAGAAGGAAGACUUUGAUUUCAAGUUCUAGACGAACACAAGAAUCUUGGUGGAAGGUUGUGAGCCUCUGUAUGUAGUUGCCCACUACAAGGAGCCAAGGCAAAUGAUGUGCCUCUUUAAGACAAAUUCUAGAAAAUAAAGCGAGCAAUUUUUGCUCUUAGGAAAUGAACUAUAAUGUUUCCUCUACUUAAUUAGUUCCAUUAGUUUAUAGGAAUUUUGAUGGUCAUUAGUUCAUAACAGAUGAUGUAUUUAUAUGGGAAAAUUAAUGAAUGUGUGUUAUUAUUGUUUG